This 292-nucleotide ribosomal RNA is filed under the name uncultured bacterium. Its description in RNAcentral is "partial 16S ribosomal RNA". It matches the Rfam family "Bacterial small subunit ribosomal RNA", at positions 505 to 796 of the family's 1533-position model. The record is from RNAcentral.
UUUUCAGCCGCCGCGGUAAUACGGGGGGGGCAAGCGUUGUUCGGAAUUACUGGGCGUAAAGGGCGCGUAGGUGGCCUGCUAAGUCGGACGUGAAAUCCCUCGGCUCAACCGGGGAACUGCGUCCGAUACUGGCGAGCUCGAAUCCGGGAGAGGGAUGUGGAAUUCCAGGUGUAGCGGUGAAAUGCGUAGAUAUCUGGAGGAACACCUGUGGCGAAAGCGUCGCACUGGACCUCUUCUGACGCUGAUGCGCGAAAGCUAGGGUAGCGAACGGGAUUAGAUACCCGCGUAGUCC